This 472-nucleotide ribosomal RNA is filed under the name uncultured bacterium. RNAcentral's name for it is "bacterial SSU rRNA". It matches the Rfam family "Bacterial small subunit ribosomal RNA", at positions 335 to 803 of the family's 1533-position model. The record is from RNAcentral.
ACUCCUACGGGAGGCAGCAGUGGGAAGUAUUGCACAAUGGGGGAAACCCUGAUGCAGCCAUGCCGCGUGUGUGAAGAAGGCCUUGGGUUGUAAAGCACUUUCAGUAGGGAGGAAGGUAGUGUAGUUAACACCUGCACUAUUUGACGUUACCUACAGAAGAAGCACCGGCUAACUCCGUGCCAGCAGCCGCGGUAAUACGGAGGGUGCGAGCGUUAAUCGGAAUUACUGGGCGUAAAGCGCAUGCAGGCGGCCUGUUAAGUCAGAUGUGAAAGCCCGGGGCUUAACCUCGGAAUUGCAUUUGAAACUGGCAGGCUAGAGUCUUGUAGAGGGGUUAGAAUUUCGAGGUGUAGCGGUGAAAUGCGUAGAGAUCUGAAGGAAUACCAGUGGCGAAGGCGGCCCCUGGACAAAGACUGACGCUCAGAUGCGAAAGCGUGGGAGCAAACAGGAUUAGAUACCCCGUGGUAGCGACUGA